RNAcentral lists this ribosomal RNA (253 nucleotides) under uncultured bacterium. RNAcentral describes it as "partial 16S ribosomal RNA". It matches the Rfam family "Bacterial small subunit ribosomal RNA", at positions 524 to 776 of the family's 1533-position model. The record is from RNAcentral.
UACGUAGGGUGCGAGCGUUGCCCGGAUUUAUUGGGCGUAAAGGGCGCGUAGGCGGCCACGCACGUCCGUUGUGAAAUCGCCCGGCUCAACUGGGCGGGGUCGGCGGAUACGGCGUGGCUGGAGCAAGCUAGGGGGCAAUGGAAUUCCCGGUGUAGUGGUGGAAUGCGUAGAUAUCGGGAGGAACACCAGUGGCGAAGGCGGUUGCCUGGAGCUUUGCUGACGCUGAUGCGCGAAAGCUGGGGGAGCGAACGGG